AAGGAUGAACGGCCCAUCAGAA
Molecule: small nuclear RNA, 22 nt
Filed under: Arabidopsis thaliana (thale cress)
Lineage: Eukaryota; Viridiplantae; Streptophyta; Magnoliopsida; Brassicales; Brassicaceae
Description: snRNA_10377
Source: RNAcentral